Molecule: regulatory RNA element, 42 nt
Organism: Erwinia sp.
Lineage: Bacteria; Pseudomonadati; Pseudomonadota; Gammaproteobacteria; Enterobacterales; Erwiniaceae
Rfam family: nuoG RNA
Source: Rfam
GAAUUAUUGUUUAACGCUUGUCGCUGACGAGCCUUACGGAAG